Ictalurus punctatus (channel catfish) is the source of this 419-nucleotide long non-coding RNA. RefSeq lists it as uncharacterized. The transcript has 3 exons. NCBI's taxonomy places the organism in Eukaryota, Metazoa, Chordata, Actinopteri, Siluriformes, Ictaluridae. The record is from RefSeq and is a predicted model, not a curated record.
UAUUUAACUUCUGGGUUCUUGUGUAGUCAGCUAUCCUACACUGUUAUCAUUCGUCUGAUCGAUCUGCCCGUCGGGAUUGGCGUGUUUAUGGGCUGUAUUGUGGGAGAUGAAAGCGGCCGUGUGUUAUAAAGUCUGCUCCAGCGACUUCACUUCUCUCAAAGCCGGGAACUUCUCUGCACAGGAAUCAAAUCAGAUUAACCUGAAUAAUGGGUGCCCGGGUUUCAGUCAAGAAUCAGACUCCUUAUACCUGGCACUUUGCCACCCAGGACAAAGGGUUUACACGCGUCGAUCCUUUCAGCGAAACAUCCUACGAGGAGGCCAGGUUAAUCCAUCGCUACAUCUACAUCAGAUAUAAAGAUCACUCAUGGAAUAGCUUUAGGUACGAGUUUAACACCCAUAAAGGUGACACCUCGUUUAUC